Molecule: ribosomal RNA, 735 nt
Filed under: Anatolodus musivus
Lineage: Eukaryota; Metazoa; Arthropoda; Insecta; Hemiptera; Issidae
Description: partial large subunit ribosomal RNA
Rfam family: Eukaryotic large subunit ribosomal RNA
Source: RNAcentral
UAACAACUCACCUGCCGAAGCAACUAGCCCUGAAAAUGGAUGGCGCUCUAGCGUCGUGCCUAUACCGGGCCGUCAACGGCAAAGUGGGUUGGUGUUCGGCCGGUUCACGCCGGUCGGCUCGACCGUUAAGCCUUGACGAGUAGGAGGCGCGCGGCAGUGUGCGCAGAAGGGUCUGGGCGUGAGCCUGCCUGGAGCCGCUGUCGGUGCAGAUCUUGGUGGUAGUAGCAAAUACUCUAGCGAGGGCCUGGAGGGCUGAUGUGGAGAAGGGUUUCUUGUGAACAGCCGUUGCACAAGAGUCAGUCGACCCUAAGCCCUAGGAGAAAUCCGAUGUUGAUGGGUAGCAAUCAUCAGCUAGCUGACUGCUCCCGUCGGGCGAAAGGGAAUCCGGUUCCUAUUCCGGAACCCGGCUGCGGAACCGUAACUUCGCGGGCACUCGCUCGCGAGCGCUCGUCGGGGUAACCCAAAAUGACCCGGAGACGCCGGCGGGAGGUCUGGAAAGAGUUGUCUUUUCUUUAUAAGCGUUCGAGUUCCCUGGAAUCCUAUAGCAGGGAGAUAGGGUUUGGAACGCGAAGAGCACCGCAGUUGCGGCGGUGUCCGGACCUUCCCCCCGGACCUUGAAAAUCCGGGUGAGGGCUACGCGGAAUGUCGCGCCGGCUCGUACCCAUAUCCGCAGCAGGUCUCCAAGGUUAAGAGCCUCUAGUCGAUAGAAUAAUGUAGGUAAGGGAAGUCGGCAAA